Long non-coding RNA from Homo sapiens (human), 1767 nucleotides. Ensembl annotates it as long intergenic non-protein coding RNA 635. The record is from Ensembl. NCBI's taxonomy places the organism in Eukaryota, Metazoa, Chordata, Mammalia, Primates, Hominidae.
AGAGAGCCUGGCUGAAGCUGUAUUACCAUUCAUUCUCCAGCCUCCGAAGUCUCAAAGCAUCACUUCCACCAUACUCUAACUGUCAAGACAAACACAAAGGCCCAGAAACUGCCAGACUGUCUUCUGAAGUGGCUAUAAUAUUUACACUCCCAUCAGCAGUGUAGAAGGGGUCUCACUAUGUUGUCUGGAGUGCUGUGGUGGAGUGGAGUGGCUAUUCACAGCUGAGUUUGCAGAGUAAACCACUACCCUGAAAUCUGGAAAGGCAGGUGCACCCACAGAUCCUCAGCUGAGAUCCAAUUACCUGAAAUAGAAGCUGCCAUUAGGAACACUUAAAAGAGCCUGUUCUGCUGGGACACAGAAUCACUUGCUCCAUCUCAUACAUUGAUGAUGAUUAAUUUGUAUGUGUACCUUCCAAAAAAGAUGGUUGUGUUUGAAUGGAGGCCUUCUGGACAGGAAAAUAUGGAGAGUGCGUGCUUUGGAUUCAAGACUGGGAAUGAGGGGACCAGAAACCUAUUCUGUGGCUGUUUCUUGUUAGGACUUUCCUAAGCCUCUGGAAAAGGUUCAAUCCUGCUGAUGCUCUCCAUGGAGAUGGUCAGCAAGUGCAAAGUACAAUUAACAUUUGAGUCUGUCUGAGUCAUGAAGAAAUGGAGAUUACUGAAAAUAAUUCAUUUUGGUAUCUUCUUACAUCCUGAGAGACUAAUCUUUCCAAGUUCAUCUGAGGCUCCUCUUCUCCAUGACAACCUCAUCCAGGGAUUUCUUCCUGUCCUGGUGUUUUAUGACAUGUGGAAGGGGACUGUAGCAGGUGAUCUCCAAAGUCUCUGGAGACUUACUAAUGUGCAUCCUCAUCUCGCUUGUAAGGAUAAUAGCCUUCCUCCAAACCUCACACACUUUUGGAGGAGAUCACUUUUUUUAAAGUGCAUGGAAAUGUUUUGAAACAGUGAAAUCUAUAAUGAUAGGUUUCAUAAUUCUAACAUCCACACCAUAUGAAUCACAUCCUUCCUGAGAUAAUGAGCACACAAUUGCCUGGAUACCUGAAGGAAUGGAGACAGCGGCAGAAAACACUGCAGAGAGGUGGAAACAUCCGUUAAUAUUUUAAAAUCCCAUUACUGCUACCAACAAUAAUAAUGGAUGCAUAGAAAUAGAUCUGGAUUAGCUGAGCUUGAAACAGUCCAUCUCACACACACACAAAAGAAUUUCAGAUACAGUGAACCCACAUGUUGAAGCUUUCUAGUAUAAUAAAAAUUUCAACUGUUCUGUUGAAUCAUCUGCCUGAUUGGAGGCUACAGAAAAGAUGUCAUCUUAGGAGUGCUUGCUCUGAGUGAGGCUCAUCUUCAAAUCUGAAUGACCACAAGGAGAUUUGAUUAUACAUGUGAACACCUCAGAAGGCACAGCCCACCCAGAAGGCAGACAGAAGAAGCUGCCAGGAAGACUGUGAAAUCUUCAUGCCCAAGGAUCCCUAAAAUUAGGAGCAACAACCACUUGGCUCAGACGGUUUAUGGAGGCAAAGGUUUGGAUGGGAUUAGAGAUUUCUAAAUGUGAGUUCGUGUCCUCUGCCAGACCACCUUACUUCCACCAUUCCUCAGCAAAUCAAGAAAAACAGGAGAAAAGACAUGCCUUUCCAUAAGUUAAAUCUAUUCUGUUUUAAUUCUAUAUUAUAUCUGCUGUACAACUUCUUUUGUUUGUAACACCAUAUUGUUGCUAGUAACUGGAAAUUAAUUUUCACAUGCCUCAGCUUAGAAAAAUAAAAAGCAGCCCUGCAUCAAUCCC